RNAcentral lists this ribosomal RNA (841 nucleotides) under Fergusobia sp. Ferg1. RNAcentral's name for it is "SSU rRNA". It matches the Rfam family "Eukaryotic small subunit ribosomal RNA", at positions 133 to 983 of the family's 1831-position model. Lineage: Eukaryota; Metazoa; Nematoda; Chromadorea; Rhabditida; Neotylenchidae. The record is from RNAcentral.
UCUUACGUGGAUAACUGUGGUAAUUCUAGAGCUAAUACAUGCACCAAAGCUCUGACCUUGCGGAAAGAGUGCAUUUAUUAGAGCAAAACCAAGCGGCUUCGGUCGUUUUUUGCUGACUCAGAAUAACUUAGCUGAUCGCACGGUCUAUGAACCGGCGACGUGUCUUUUGAGUAUCUGCCUUAUCAAUUUUCGAUGGUAGUGUAUCUGACUACCAUGGUGUUGACGGGUAACGGAGAAUAAGGGUUCGACUCCGGAGAAGGGGCCUGAGAAAUGGCCACUACGUCUAAGGAUGGCAGCAGGCGCGCAAAUUACCCACUCUCGGAAUGAGGAGGUAGUGACGAGAAAUAACGAGACCGUUCUCUAUGAGGCCGGUUAUCGGAAUGGGUACAAUUUAAACCCUUUAACGAGUAUCUAUGAGAGGGCAAGUCUGGUGCCAGCAGCCGCGGUAAUUCCAGCUCUCAAAAUGCAUAGAACCAUUGCUGCGGUUAAAAAGCUCGUAGUUGAAUUUAUGCUAAAGGCUUGGUCCGCUCUUUGAGUGUGUACUAGGUUCUUUGGCUUUUAUCGUCGGUUUUCUUGUCGUGGCCUUUAUUGGUGGCGGCAAGUGGCUGACAAUUUUACUUUGAACAAAUCAGAGUGCUUAACACAGGCGUUUCGCUUGUAUGCUUUUGCAUGGAAUAAUAGAAUAUGACUUCGGUCUAGUUUUAUUGGUUUUAUAGAUCGUUGUAAUGAUUAAAAGAGACAAACGGGGGCAUUCGUAUUGUUGCGUGAGAGGUGAAAUUCUUGGACCGCAGCAAGACGACCUACAGCGAAAGCAUUUGCCAAGCUGUCUCAUAAUCAAGAA